UACGAAGGGUGCAAACGUUGCUCGGAAUCAUUGGGCGUAAAGCGCACGUAGGCGGCUUCGCAAGUCGGAUGUGAAAUACCUCGGCUCAACCAAGGACGUGCAUACGAAACUGCGAGGCUUGAGUACUGAAGAGGAUCGCGGAAUUCCCGGUGUAGAGGUGAAAUUCGUAGAUAUCGGGAGGAACACCAGUGGCGAAGGCGGCGAUCUGGGCAGAUACUGACGCUGAGGUGCGAAAGCGUGGGGAGCAAACAGG
This 253-nucleotide ribosomal RNA is filed under the name uncultured bacterium. Its description in RNAcentral is "partial 16S ribosomal RNA". It matches the Rfam family "Bacterial small subunit ribosomal RNA", at positions 524 to 776 of the family's 1533-position model. The record is from RNAcentral.